Molecule: ribosomal RNA, 440 nt
Filed under: uncultured bacterium
Lineage: Bacteria
Description: partial 16S ribosomal RNA
Rfam family: Bacterial small subunit ribosomal RNA
Source: RNAcentral
CCUACGGGAGGCAGCAGUGGGGAAUAUUGCACAAUGGGGGAAACCCUGAUGCAGCGACGCCGCGUGAGUGAAGAAGUAAUUCGUUAUGUAAAGCUCUAUCAGCAGGGAAGAAAAUGACGGUACGUGAGUAAGAAGCCCCGGCUAACUACGUGCCAGCAGCCGAGGUAAUACGUAGGGGGCAAGAGUUAUACGGAUUUACUGGGUGUAAAGGGAGCGUAGACGGCAGUGCAAGUCUGGAGUGAAAGGCGGGGGCUCAACCCCCGGACUGCUCUGGAAACUGUACGGCUGGAGUGCAGGAGAGGUAAGUGGAAUUCCUAGUGUAGCGGUGAAAUGCGUAGAUAUUAGGAGGAACACCAGUGGCGAAGGCGGCUUACUGGACUGUAACUGACGUUGAGGCUCGAAAGCGUGGGGAGCAAACAGGAUUAGAUACCCGAGUAGUC